UUUUAUGGAGAGUUUGAUCCUGGCUCAGGAUGAACGCUGGCGGCGUGCCUAAUACAUGCAAGUCGAGCGAACGGACGAGAAGCUUGCUUCUCUGAUGUUAGCGGCGGACGGGUGAGUAACACGUGGAUAACCUACCUAUAAGACUGGGAUAACUUCGGGAAACCGGAGCUAAUACCGGAUAAUAUUUUGAACCGCAUGGUUCAAAAGUGAAAGACGGUCUUGCUGUCACUUAUAGAUGGAUCCGCGCUGCAUUAGCUAGUUGGUAAGGUAACGGCUUACCAAGGCAACGAUG
RNAcentral lists this ribosomal RNA (292 nucleotides) under Staphylococcus argenteus. Its description in RNAcentral is "partial 16S ribosomal RNA". It matches the Rfam family "Bacterial small subunit ribosomal RNA", at positions 1 to 281 of the family's 1533-position model. Lineage: Bacteria; Bacillati; Bacillota; Bacilli; Caryophanales; Staphylococcaceae. The record is from RNAcentral.